RNAcentral lists this ribosomal RNA (253 nucleotides) under uncultured bacterium. Its description in RNAcentral is "partial 16S ribosomal RNA". It matches the Rfam family "Bacterial small subunit ribosomal RNA", at positions 524 to 776 of the family's 1533-position model. The record is from RNAcentral.
UACGGAGGGUCCAAGCGUUAUCCGGAUUUAUUGGGUUUAAAGGGUUCGUAGGCGGAAUAUUAAGUCAGUGGUGAAAUCCUACAGCUUAACUGUAGAACUGCCAUUGAUACUGAUGUUCUUGAGUAUAAUUGGAGUUGGCGGAAUGUGUCAUGUAGCGGUGAAAUGCUUAGAUAUGACCCAGAACACCGAUCGCGAAAGCAGCCAACUAAGUUGUAACUGACGCUGAGGAACGAAAGCGUGGGGAGCGAACAGG